GAUGAACGCUGGCGGCGUGCCUAAUACAUGCAAGUCGAGCGAACAGACGAGGAGCUUGCUCCUCUGACGUUAGCGGCGGACGGGUGAGUAACACGUGGAUAACCUACCUAUAAGACUGGGAUAACUUCGGGAAACCGGAGCUAAUACCGGAUAAUAUAUUGAACCGCAUGGUUCAAUAGUGAAAGACGGUUUUGCCGUCACUUAUAGAUGGAUCCGCGCCGCAUUAGCUAGUUGGUAAGGUAACGGCUUACCAAGGCAACGAUGCGUAGCCGACCUGAGAGGGUGAUCGGCCACACUGGAACUGAGACACGGUCCAGACUCCUACGGGAGGCGGCAGUAGGGAAUCUUCCGCAAUGGGCGAAAGCCUGACGGAGCAACGCCGCGUGAGUGAUGAAGGUCUUCGGAUCGUAAAACUCUGUUAUUAGGGAAGAACAAAUGUGUAAGUAACUAUGCACGUCUUGACGGUACCUAAUCAGAAAGCCACGGCUAACUACGUG
This 497-nucleotide ribosomal RNA is filed under the name uncultured bacterium. Its description in RNAcentral is "partial 16S ribosomal RNA". It matches the Rfam family "Bacterial small subunit ribosomal RNA", at positions 28 to 507 of the family's 1533-position model. The record is from RNAcentral.